RNAcentral lists this ribosomal RNA (484 nucleotides) under uncultured bacterium. RNAcentral describes it as "bacterial SSU rRNA". It matches the Rfam family "Bacterial small subunit ribosomal RNA", at positions 28 to 478 of the family's 1533-position model. The record is from RNAcentral.
GACGAACGCUGGCGGCAUGCCUAAUACAUGCAAGUCGAACGAACCAUCCUGAAGAUUGAAGCUUGCUUCAUGAUUCAGACCUUGGUGAGUGGCGGACGGGUGAGUAACACGUGGGUAACCUGCCCAAAAGUGGGGGAUAACAUUUGGAAACAAGUGCUAAUACCGCAUAACAACUACUUUCACAUGAUCGUAGCUUGAAAGAUGGCUCUGCUAUCGCUUUUGGAUGGACCCGCGGCGUAUUAGCUAGUUGGUGAGGUAAUAGCUCACCAAGGCAAUGAUACGUAGCCGACCUGAGAGGGUAAUCGGCCACAUUGGGACUGAGACACGGCCCAAACUCCUACGGGAGGCAGCAGUAGGGAAUCUUCCACAAUGGGCGAAAGCCUGAUGGAGCAAUGCCGCGUGAGUGAAGAAGGUUUUCGGAUCGUAAAACUCUGUUGUUGAAGAAGAACAUGCGUGAGAGUAACUGUUCACGUACUGACGGUAU